This is a non-coding RNA of Macrosteles quadrilineatus (aster leafhopper), 125 nucleotides long. RefSeq annotates it as small Cajal body-specific RNA 8. NCBI's taxonomy places the organism in Eukaryota, Metazoa, Arthropoda, Insecta, Hemiptera, Cicadellidae. The record is from RefSeq and is a predicted model, not a curated record. The transcript has a single exon.
AGGGAAUGUGAUACACAAUACCGACAUAUGUUGAGUUUUGUCACUUGAUUUCCCGAUAGCAUGAGCUUUCUGAUGACGACAACGUGUGAAGUAUUAAGUUGCCGACAGAUACGGAGCUUACAUUU